Small nuclear RNA from Apodemus sylvaticus (European woodmouse), 107 nucleotides. The record is from RefSeq and is a predicted model, not a curated record. NCBI's taxonomy places the organism in Eukaryota, Metazoa, Chordata, Mammalia, Rodentia, Muridae.
GUGCUUGCUUCAGUAGCACAUAUGCUAAAACUGGAAUGAUUCAGAGAAGAUUAGUUUGACCACUGAACAAGGAUGACAUGAAAAUUCAUGAAGUGUUCCAUAUUUUU